GUUAAUGUAGCUUAAACUUAAAGCAAGGCACUGAAAAUGCCUAGAUGAGUCUACUGACCCCAUGAACA
Molecule: transfer RNA, 68 nt
Filed under: Ovis aries (sheep)
Lineage: Eukaryota; Metazoa; Chordata; Mammalia; Artiodactyla; Bovidae
Description: tRNA-Phe
Rfam family: tRNA
About the family: Transfer RNA (tRNA) molecules are approximately 80 nucleotides in length. Their secondary structure includes four short double-helical elements and three loops (D, anti-codon, and T loops).
Source: RNAcentral